AGUGAACGCUGGCGGUAGGCCUAACACAUGCAAGUCGAACGGCAGCACAGUAAGAGCUUGCUCUUACGGGUGGCGAGUGGCGGACGAGUGAGGAAUACAUCGGAAUCUACUUUUUCGUGGGGGAUAACGUAGGGAAACUUACGCUAAUACCGCAUACGACCUACGGGUGAAAGCAGGGGAUCUUCGGACCUUGCGCGAUUGAAUGAGCCGAUGUCGGAUUAGCUAGUUGGCGGGGUAAAGGCCCACCAAGGCGACGAUCCGUAGCUGGUCUGAGAGGAUGAUCAGCCACACUGGAACUGAGACACGGUCCAGACUCCUACGGGAGGCAGCAGUGGGGAAUAUUGGACAAUGGGCGCAAGCCUGAUCCAGCCAUACCGCGUGGGUGAAGAAGGCCUUCGGGUUGUAAAGCCCUUUUGUUGGGAAUGAAAAGCAGCAGGUUAAUACCCCGCUGUUCUGACGGUACCCAAAGAAUAAGCACCGGCUAACUUCGUG
Molecule: ribosomal RNA, 492 nt
Filed under: uncultured bacterium
Lineage: Bacteria
Description: partial 16S ribosomal RNA
Rfam family: Bacterial small subunit ribosomal RNA
Source: RNAcentral